RNAcentral lists this long non-coding RNA (287 nucleotides) under Bos grunniens (domestic yak). RNAcentral's name for it is "lncRNA (ENSBGRG00000008594.1)". Lineage: Eukaryota; Metazoa; Chordata; Mammalia; Artiodactyla; Bovidae. The record is from RNAcentral.
CAGUGCCAAACAUGCACGGUUCUGGUUUUUCGUGUUACUUUUUACUUUUUUUUUUUUAAUCCUGCGUCUGUUUCUAUUUCGAGCACCUUGGGUGGUGACGGCAGAUGAAGGUGAGGGAGGAGGGCGCCAACCCGCGGUGGAAGCGCGUAGACUCGGACUCAGAACCGGGCACACUCGCGGAGCCUGAAGUCUGCAGUAAUCAGAAGCCUGCAAUACCCAUGUGUCACUGAUCUGGAGACGACCCCCCGCGGGCAGCACUUCAUGACCCAGCGGCGCCCGGCCCAGUG